This 338-nucleotide long non-coding RNA is filed under the name Mytilus galloprovincialis (Mediterranean mussel). The record is from RNAcentral. Lineage: Eukaryota; Metazoa; Mollusca; Bivalvia; Mytilida; Mytilidae.
CAGCGUUGCUUAUAAUUUAUAACCUUUGUUGAAAGACUUAAUCAUUUUAUAUAAGUUGUUUGGAAGAAUAUUGUUGAUUGAAAGCACUCUAUAGCGCUAUACAGGGCAGCCUAGGCUGAAGCUGUAUAUGGUUUGUUGACAUCUCUAACUAAUUGAGAUGUUUGUGGACUGAAGUUCCACCAAGGGUGGCUGUGUACUGCAAGAUGCAUUUUUAACUAAUACGGUCAUGCAAAGCUACAUUUCUCUACUGUUGGUCUACAUAAUCAAAAAUCUACUAUUGAUUGAAUUAUAUAUUGGUUUGAUUUUUUAAAAAUUUUGAUAGCACUAUUACAUUCGUC